UGGGGAAUAUUGGACAAUGGGCGAAAGCCUGAUCCAGCCAUGCCGCGUGUGUGAAGAAGGUCUUCGGAUUGUAAAGCACUUUAAGUUGGGAGGAAGGGCAGUAAGCGAAUACCUUGCUGUUUUGACGUUACCGACAGAAUAAGCACCGGCUAACUCUGUUCCAGCAGCCGCGGUAAUCCAGAGGGUGCAAGCGUUAAUCGGAAUUACUGGGCGUAAAGCGCGCGUAGGUGGUUCGUUAAGUUGAAUGUGAAAGCCCCGGGCUCAACCUGGGAACUGCAUCCAAAACUGGCGAGCGAGAGUAGGGCAGAGGGUGGUGGAAUUUCCUGUGUAGCGGUGAAAUGCGUGGAGAUCUGGAGGAAUACCGAUGGCGAAGGCAGCCAUCUGGCCUAACACUGACGCAGAGGUACGAGAGAAUGGGGAGCAAACAGG
RNAcentral lists this ribosomal RNA (429 nucleotides) under Pseudomonadota bacterium. Its description in RNAcentral is "Proteobacteria bacterium partial 16S ribosomal RNA". It matches the Rfam family "Bacterial small subunit ribosomal RNA", at positions 355 to 776 of the family's 1533-position model. The record is from RNAcentral. Lineage: Bacteria; Pseudomonadati; Pseudomonadota.